Molecule: ribosomal RNA, 445 nt
Filed under: uncultured bacterium
Lineage: Bacteria
Description: partial 16S ribosomal RNA
Rfam family: Bacterial small subunit ribosomal RNA
Source: RNAcentral
GUGAGGAAUAUUGGUCAAUGGGCGGGAGCCUGAACCAGCCAAGUCGCGUGAAGGAAGAAGGAUCUAUGGUUCGUAAACUUCUUUUGCAGGGGAAUAAAGUGCAGGACGUGUCCUGUUUUGUAUGUACCCUGAGAAUAAGGAUCGGCUAACUCCGUGCCAGCAGCCGCGGUAAUACGGGGGAUCCGAGCGUUAUCCGGAUUUAUUGGGUUUAAAGGGUGCGUAGGUGGUUUGAUAAGUCAGCGGUGAAAGUUUGCAGCUUAACUGUAAAAAUGCCGUUGAAACUGUCGGACUUGAGUGUAAAUGAGGUAGGCGGAAUGCGUGGUGUAGCGGUGAAAUGCAUAGAUAUCACGCAGAACUCCGAUUGCGAAGGCAGCUUACUAAGCUACAACUGACACUGAAGCACGAAAGCGUGGGGAUCAAACAGGAUUAGAAACCCCGGUAGUCC